GAAUAAGAAAGAGCCUCCCUUUAAAAAGCAGAAAAACGAAUCGUCUCAAGUUGGGCCUCCAAAAUCUACAUAUAAACCUGGCAUGUCAUCGUUACCUGCCUCGAAGGAUAGGCUAUCAUCUUCACCUAUUCCAUCGCCACCCGAGCAAUCCGGUGCUCCAGUAUCUCAAUUUGGAUCUGCAAACUCCAUGAAGACUCAUGCAUUU
This 205-nucleotide unclassified non-coding RNA is filed under the name Hevea brasiliensis (rubber tree). The record is from RNAcentral. Lineage: Eukaryota; Viridiplantae; Streptophyta; Magnoliopsida; Malpighiales; Euphorbiaceae.